AGCUGACACAUCCCUGCCAUCUCCGGCAGACCCUCCCUCCAUUUCCUGGACAGCAUCCAUGUUGAAGCUGCCUUCAACAUGGAUGCUGUCCAGGAAGUAGGAGGGUCUGGGAGGGAGGGUCUGCCGGAGAUUGGCAGGGAUGUGUCAGCU
This is a non-coding RNA of Pelobates cultripes (western spadefoot toad), 150 nucleotides long. The record is from the annotation of a GenBank genome assembly. NCBI's taxonomy places the organism in Eukaryota, Metazoa, Chordata, Amphibia, Anura, Pelobatidae.